AGAGUUUGAUCAUGGCUCAGGAUGAACGCUAGCUACAGGCUUAACACAUGCAAGUCGAGGGGCAGCAUUAUCGAAGCUUGCUUUGAUAGAUGGCGACCGGCGCACGGGUGAGUAACGCGUAUCCAACCUUCCCCAUAGUAGGGCAUAGCCCGUAGAAAUGCGGAUUAAUACCCUAUGUAUUCCGAGGAUGACAUCUGAUUCGGAACAAAGGUUCACCGCUAUGGGAUGGGGAUGCGUCUGAUUAGGUAGUAGGCGGGGUAACGGCCCACCUAGCCGACGAUCAGUAGGGGUUCUGAGAGGAAGGUCCCCCACAUUGGAACUGAGACACGGUCCAAACUCCUACGGGAGGCAGCAGUGAGGAAUAUUGGUCAAUGGGCGAGAGCCUGAACCAGCCAAAGUAGCGUGCAGGACGACGGCCCUAUGGGUUGUAAACUGCUUUUAUACAGGGAUAAAGUCGGGGACGCGUUCCCCGUUUGCAGGUACUGUAUGAAUAAGGACCGGCUAAUUCCGUGCCAGCCGCCGC
RNAcentral lists this ribosomal RNA (523 nucleotides) under uncultured bacterium. Its description in RNAcentral is "bacterial SSU rRNA". It matches the Rfam family "Bacterial small subunit ribosomal RNA", at positions 8 to 518 of the family's 1533-position model. The record is from RNAcentral.